Molecule: ribosomal RNA, 278 nt
Filed under: Enterobacter hormaechei subsp. xiangfangensis
Lineage: Bacteria; Pseudomonadati; Pseudomonadota; Gammaproteobacteria; Enterobacterales; Enterobacteriaceae
Description: partial 16S ribosomal RNA
Rfam family: Bacterial small subunit ribosomal RNA
Source: RNAcentral
GAGUAAUGUCUGGGAAACUGCCUGAUGGAGGGGGAUAACUACUGGAAACGGUAGCUAAUACCGCAUAACGUCGCAAGACCAAAGAGGGGGACCUUCGGGCCUCUUGCCAUCGGAUGUGCCCAGAUGGGAUUAGCUAGUAGGUGGGGUAACGGCUCACCUAGGCGACGAUCCCUAGCUGGUCUGAGAGGAUGACCAGCCACACUGGAACUGAGACACGGUCCAGACUCCUACGGGAGGCAGCAGUGGGGAAUAUUGCACAAUGGGCGCAAGCCUGAUGC